Molecule: ribosomal RNA, 253 nt
Filed under: uncultured bacterium
Lineage: Bacteria
Description: partial 16S ribosomal RNA
Rfam family: Bacterial small subunit ribosomal RNA
Source: RNAcentral
UACGAAGGGGGCUAGCGUUGUUCGGAAUCACUGGGCGUAAAGGGCGCGUAGGCGGCCGUUCAAGUCGGGGGUGAAAGCCUGUGGCUCAACCACAGAAUUGCCUUCGAUACUGCAUGGCUUGAGACCGGAAGAGGUAAGUGGAACUGCGAGUGUAGAGGUGAAAUUCGUAGAUAUUCGCAAGAACACCAGUGGCGAAGGCGGCUUACUGGUCCGGUUCUGACGCUGAGGCGCGAAAGCGUGGGGAGCAAACAGG